RNAcentral lists this transfer RNA (38 nucleotides) under Bulbophyllum bicoloratum. Its description in RNAcentral is "partial tRNA-Glu". Lineage: Eukaryota; Viridiplantae; Streptophyta; Magnoliopsida; Asparagales; Orchidaceae. RNAcentral also lists the same sequence under 31 other names. The record is from RNAcentral.
CUACCCCCAGGGGAAGUCGAAUCCCCGUUGCCUCCUUG